AACGAACGCUGGCGGCAUGCCUAACACAUGCAAGUCGAACGAGACCUUCGGGUCUAGUGUCGCACGGUUACUUAACGCGUGGGAACCUGCGCUUAGGUUCGCUAUCACGCCGCGAAGGGGGACCUAAUACCGGGAAAUCUAUUCGCACCAAAGAGUUAUCGCCGUUGGAUGGGUCCGAGUUGGAUUAAAUAGUUUGUAGAGUAAAAGGCUACCAAGGCGAAUAUCCAUAGCUGGUCUGAGAGGAUGAUCAGGAACACUGGGACUGAGACACGGACCAGACUCCUACGGGAGGAAGCAGGGGGGAAUAUUCGACGAUGGGCGAAAGAAUGAUCCAGCCAUGCCGCGUGAGUGAUGAAGGCCUUAGGGUUGUAAAGCUCUUUUACAAGGGAUGAUAAUGACAGUACCGGGAGAAUAAGCUCCGGCUAACUCCGUG
This 433-nucleotide ribosomal RNA is filed under the name uncultured bacterium. RNAcentral describes it as "partial 16S ribosomal RNA". It matches the Rfam family "Bacterial small subunit ribosomal RNA", at positions 29 to 507 of the family's 1533-position model. The record is from RNAcentral.